This 497-nucleotide ribosomal RNA is filed under the name uncultured bacterium. Its description in RNAcentral is "partial 16S ribosomal RNA". It matches the Rfam family "Bacterial small subunit ribosomal RNA", at positions 28 to 507 of the family's 1533-position model. The record is from RNAcentral.
GAUGAACGCUGGCGGCGUGCCUAAUACAUGCAAGUCGAGCGAACAGACGAGGAGCUUGCUCCUUUGACGUUAGCGGCGGACGGGUGAGUAACACGUAGGUAACCUACCUAUAAGACUGGGAUAACUUCGGGAAACCGGAGCUAAUACCGGAUAAUAUUUCGAACCGCAUGGUUCGAUAGUGAAAGAUGGCUUUGCUAUCACUUAUAGAUGGACCUGCGCCGUAUUAGCUAGUUGGUAAGGUAACGGCUUACCAAGGCAACGAUACGUAGCCGACCUGAGAGGAUGAUCGGCCACACUGGAACUGAGACACGGUCCAGACUCCUACGGGAGGCAGCAGUAGGGAAUAUUCCGCAAUGGGCGAAAGCCUGACGGAGCAACGCCGCGUGAGUGAUGAAGGUCUUCGGAUCGUAAAACUCUGUUAUUAGGGAAGAACAAACGUGUAAGUAACUGUGCACGUCUUGACGGUACCUAAUCAGAAAGCCACGGCUAACUACGUG